Molecule: ribosomal RNA, 770 nt
Filed under: Corynebacterium pseudotuberculosis
Lineage: Bacteria; Bacillati; Actinomycetota; Actinomycetes; Mycobacteriales; Corynebacteriaceae
Description: bacterial SSU rRNA
Rfam family: Bacterial small subunit ribosomal RNA
Source: RNAcentral
GGUGAGUAACACGUGGGUGAUCUGCCUCGUACUCUGGGAUAAGCCUGGGAAACUGGGUCUAAUACUGGAUAGGACCGCACUUUAGUGUGUGUGGUGGAAAGUUUUUUCGGUACGAGAUGAGCCCGCGGCCUAUCAGCUUGUUGGUGGGGUAAUGGCCUACCAAGGCGUCGACGGGUAGCCGGCCUGAGAGGGUGGACGGCCACAUUGGGACUGAGAUACGGCCCAGACUCCUACGGGAGGCAGCAGUGGGGAAUAUUGCACAAUGGGCGCAAGCCUGAUGCAGCGACGCCGCGUGAGGGAUGACGGCCUUCGGGUUGUAAACCUCUUUCGACAGGGACGAAGCUUUUUGUGACGGUACCUGUAUAAGAAGCACCGGCUAACUACGUGCCAGCAGCCGCGGUAAUACGUAGGGUGCGAGCGUUGUCCGGAAUUACUGGGCGUAAAGAGCUCGUAGGUGGUUUGUCGCGUCGUCUGUGAAAUUCCGGGGCUUAACUCCGGGCGUGCAGGCGAUACGGGCAUAACUUGAGUGCUGUAGGGGAGACUGGAAUUCCUGGUGUAGCGGUGGAAUGCGCAGAUAUCAGGAGGAACACCGAUGGCGAAGGCAGGUCUCUGGGCAGUAACUGACGCUGAGGAGCGAAAGCAUGGGGAGCGAACAGGAUUAGAUACCCUGGUAGUCCAUGCCGUAAACGGUGGGCGCUAGGUGUGAGGGUCUUCCACGACUUUCGUGCCGUAGCUAACGCAUUAAGCGCCCCGCCUGGGGAGUACGGCCG